GUAAAACCCAAUAUCAGCAUCAACCCUAGACUAAGUAAAACCCAGUAUCAGCAUCAACCCUAGACUAAGUAAAACCCAAUAUCAGCAUCAACCCUAGACUAAGUAAAACCCAAUAUCAGCAUCAACCCUAGACUAAGUAAAACCCAGUAUCAGCAUCAACCCUAGACUAAGUAAAACCCAAUAUCAGCAUCAACCCUAGACUAAGUAAAACCCAAUAUCAGCAUCAACCCUAGACUAAGUAAAACCCAAUAUCAGCAUCAACCCUAGACUAAGUAAAACCCAGUAUCAGCAUCAACCCUAGACUAAGUAAAACCCAGUAUCAGCAUCAACCCUAGACUAAGUAAAACCCAGUAUCAGCAUCAACCCUAGACUAAGUAAAACCCAAUAUCAGCAUCAACCCUAGACUAAGUAAAACCCAAUAUCAGCAUCAACCCUAGACUAAGUAAAACCCAAUAUCAGCAUCAACC
Molecule: long non-coding RNA, 467 nt
Organism: Eriocheir sinensis (Chinese mitten crab)
Lineage: Eukaryota; Metazoa; Arthropoda; Malacostraca; Decapoda; Varunidae
Exons: 3
Source: RefSeq, a predicted model, not a curated record